Molecule: non-coding RNA, 283 nt
Organism: Plectropomus leopardus (leopard coralgrouper)
Lineage: Eukaryota; Metazoa; Chordata; Actinopteri; Perciformes; Serranidae
Source: RefSeq, a predicted model, not a curated record
UAUAGAAAACGUCUAAAAUGUCAGAAAACUUGGAAUCAACACAUCAAAUAAAAAAACACUUGGGUAGUAAAACGUGUUUCUUCCAGAGUUGUCCGGCGUCUGUUGAACCGCCUUCUGGAGCAAUUCAGCCGUGUCACAUCAGAGAGGCUAUUCGAAGAUACAACUACAGACAUACGAGUGCUUACUGGAGGAGUGGGAUGGCGUUCCUCACCUGCUGAAGAUAUGAAUACCUGUGCCGUUACCUUUUUGUUCCAGUUAUGUAAUAAAGACUUUUCUUUAAGCA